Long non-coding RNA from Dendronephthya gigantea, 329 nucleotides. RefSeq lists it as uncharacterized. The transcript is spliced from 5 exons. The record is from RefSeq and is a predicted model, not a curated record. Lineage: Eukaryota; Metazoa; Cnidaria; Anthozoa; Malacalcyonacea; Nephtheidae.
UAGCAUUUCAACUUAUCAUCAUUCGUAGGUGCAAAGGUUGUACUGGUCAGAAUUUAGACCAGACACCAAAAUAUGGCUUCGUUUUGGCUUACAACUGGUCUAUUGUUGAUUCUUUUAACCACCCUAACUACGGCUGAUGUUCAGAAAACGUUUGUUUCCUGACAAAAAAGCGGUGAUGCCAGCCUCUGACAGGAACUGCAACAGGCUGGAGCAGUGGUCAAAGAUGACGCUGAGAAAACUUCCGAGCUAAAGGUAAAAUGGAAAAGAGAUGCAGAGAGGCGAGAUGAUAUUAUUGAACGGUUCGUUGCGAUGAGAAAGAAGAGUUAAGA